RNAcentral lists this transfer RNA (56 nucleotides) under Atractosteus spatula (alligator gar). It matches the Rfam family "tRNA", at positions 10 to 63 of the family's 71-position model. From Rfam's summary of the family: Transfer RNA (tRNA) molecules are approximately 80 nucleotides in length. Their secondary structure includes four short double-helical elements and three loops (D, anti-codon, and T loops). The record is from Rfam by way of RNAcentral. RNAcentral also lists the same sequence under 1 other name. Lineage: Eukaryota; Metazoa; Chordata; Actinopteri; Semionotiformes; Lepisosteidae.
GCUCAGGCGGUAGAGCAUGUGAUUCUUAAUCUCAAGGUGGUGGGAUCAAACCCCAC